CGGCACGGGUGAGUAACACGUAUGCAACCUGCCUGCCACAGCCGGAUAAUCGGGAGAAAUUCCGUCUAAUACGGCAUAAUGCAUCGACGGGACAUCCUGUUGGUGCCAAAGGUUGAUUCCGGUGGCGGAUGGGCAUGCGUCGCAUUAGUUAGUUGGCGGUGUAACGGACCACCAAGACGACGAUGCGUAGGGGUUCUGAGAGGAAGGUCCCCCACAUUGGAACUGAGACACGGUCCAAACUCCUACGGGAGGCAGCAG
This 258-nucleotide ribosomal RNA is filed under the name uncultured bacterium. RNAcentral's name for it is "partial 16S ribosomal RNA". It matches the Rfam family "Bacterial small subunit ribosomal RNA", at positions 98 to 354 of the family's 1533-position model. The record is from RNAcentral.